CUUCACCGACCCCAGCCACAGCGGCUCGGCGCGGUCCUGGCCGUAGGUGGCCAGCAGCGCCUGCGCCUC
RNAcentral lists this antisense RNA (69 nucleotides) under Streptomyces antibioticus. RNAcentral describes it as "ASpks sRNA". It matches the Rfam family "ASpks TB sRNA". The record is from RNAcentral. RNAcentral also lists the same sequence under 2 other names. Lineage: Bacteria; Bacillati; Actinomycetota; Actinomycetes; Kitasatosporales; Streptomycetaceae.